RNAcentral lists this ribosomal RNA (467 nucleotides) under uncultured bacterium. RNAcentral describes it as "partial 16S ribosomal RNA". It matches the Rfam family "Bacterial small subunit ribosomal RNA", at positions 28 to 506 of the family's 1533-position model. The record is from RNAcentral.
GACGAACGCUGGCGGCGUGCUUAACACAUGCAAGUCGAACGGAAAGGCCCUGCUUUUGUGGGGUGCUCGAGUGGCGAACGGGUGAGUAACACGUGAGUAACCUGCCCUUGACUUUGGGAUAACUUCAGGAAACUGGGGCUAAUACCGGAUAGGAGCUCCUGCUGCAUGGUGGGGGUUGGAAAGUUUCGGCGGUUGGGGAUGGACUCGCGGCUUAUCAGCUUGUUGGUGGGGUAGUGGCUUACCAAGGCUUUGACGGGUAGCCGGCCUGAGAGGGUGACCGGCCACAUUGGGCCUGGGAUACGGCCCAGACGCCUACGGGAGGAAGCAGUGGGGAAUAUUGCAAAAUGGGCGGAGGCCUGAUGCAGCAACGCCGCGUGCGGGAUGACGGCCUUCGGGUUGUAAACCGCUUUCGCCUGUGACGAAGCGUGAGUGACGGUAAUGGGGAAAGAAGCACCGGCGAACUACGU